GACCUGAGAGGGUGAUCGGCCACACUGGAACUGAGACACGGUCCAGACUCCUACGGGAGGCAGCAGUAGGGAAUCUUCCGCAAUGGGCGAAAGCCUGACGGAGCAACGCCGCGUGAGUGAAGAAGGUCUUCGGAUCGUAAAACUCUGUUAUUAGGGAAGAACAAAUGUGUAAGUAACUAUGCACGUCUUGACGGUACCUAAUCAGAAAGCCACGGCUAACUACGUGCCAGCAGCCGCGGUAAUACGUAGGUGGCAAGCGUUAUCCGGAAUUAUUGGGCGUAAAGCGCGCGUAGGCGGUUUUUUAAGUCUGAUGUGAAAGCCCACGGCUCAACCGUGGAGGGUCAUUGGAAACUG
RNAcentral lists this ribosomal RNA (354 nucleotides) under bacterium LimC-100-J-130. RNAcentral describes it as "bacterial SSU rRNA". It matches the Rfam family "Bacterial small subunit ribosomal RNA", at positions 289 to 635 of the family's 1533-position model. The record is from RNAcentral. RNAcentral also lists the same sequence under 4 other names.